This 1430-nucleotide long non-coding RNA is filed under the name Olea europaea subsp. europaea. Lineage: Eukaryota; Viridiplantae; Streptophyta; Magnoliopsida; Lamiales; Oleaceae. The record is from RNAcentral.
GUUCUUGCAUUGUAGGUAAACACGGAACUACAUAGAGAGCAUGGCUAGCCGUGGAGCUCCUACAGGAUUCCAGAGUUUGACGUACAUGGAUGACGACCUGUAGGGUUAUUUUGUAGGCUACCAUCUGUUGGGUUAUAUUUUGGAAUCCUAUAUAGUGUACUUUUGAAAUGGCCUGUAGACAUGUUUAUAAGCUCUGAAUAUAUAUGUUGGAUUAUGGCGAUAUGAUUUUGGGUUUCGAUAUAUUAUAUGAUCUGUCACAGGUGAUUAGAAGUUAACAAGCUCAAAAAAAAUAUAUAUAUGUAAAAUUCUAUGUCUAGGUUGUGUAUAGAUAUCAAUAUUAAUUUGGGGGUGUGACAACUGACGAUGCCACGAACAUUGCUGACUUAUUCUUUAAAGAGAUUGUGCGUUUACAUGGGGUUCCUAGAAGCAUAGUGUCGGAUCGGGAUGUCAAAAUUUUGAGUCACUUUUGGAGAGUUUUGUGGGGUAAGUUAGGCACUAAGUUACUAUUUUCCACAACUUGUCACCCACAAAUGGAUGGGCAAACCGAGGUAGUGAAUAGGACUAUGACACAAUUGUUACGCACCGUAAUCAAUAAAAAUUUGAAGAGUUGGGAGGAGUGUCUACCAUUUGUUGAAUUUGCAUACAAUUGUUGGGUUUGGGUGCACCUUAGGAAAGAGCGGUUUUAGGAGCACAGGAAGUCCAAGUUGCAAUCGAGGGGCAAUGGUCCAUUUCAAGUGAUUGUAGAGAUAAACGACAAUGCUUACAAGUUGGACCUUCCAGGUGAGUACAAUGUUUCGGCUACUUUUAAUGUAUCUGAUCUCUCUCUAUUUGAUGUAGGUUCAGAUUCGAGGAUGAAUCCUUUUGAAGAGGGAGGGGAUGAUAUGAUCCAGGAGUCGAGCCCGACGAAGGCAAGUGCGAGACGAAACCCGUUGAUAGUCGAUGGCGGACCAAUUACACGAUCAAGGGCAAAGCAAGUGAAACAAGCGAUGGGAUUGCUCGUUCAAGAAACCAUUGAUGGAACCAUGUUUGGGACUCAAAAUGGAGCAACUUUCAUGUUCGGGUCAAAGGUUGAAUCAACUUGGAUCAAUUUGUUAUCAAGCAACGAAAGCGGAGGCUGAAGAUAACACCAUGCAGCCGCACAGGCAAAACACCAUGCGGCUGCACAGUGGCAUUCUGAAAAUUUAAUUGAAAUUUUUGUUGAACCAUGUGACCGCAUGGAAAUACACCAUGCGGCCGCACUGGCCAAAAAUUUGGCGAAUUUUCCAAUUUUGGCAAUUUUCCAUAUUUUGUUAGAUUUUGAUUCUUUUCCAUAUUUUAGAGAUUAUGCUCGACUUUUACACUAUUUUUACCUAGCUUUUAGGUUUAGUAUAAAUAGGAGUUUCCAUUCAGUUGUUAAAAACGCCUUUGACAUUAUUGAUAUUGAAUUAAAG